GUGUUCUUAAGAAAAUCUUAGCUCAAAAUUUAAUGAAAAACCAUGCUUAAUGUUAAGAAACGGGGCUUAGUUAAGCCUCAAAAUUAAAGCUAAGAACUGUCCACGUGUCAAGUUUUGGCCCGUGUUUUAUUUUCUCUGAGAUUUCUUUCAUCUCUCUUUCUCUCCCCCUCUCCCUCCCUUUCACGAAACAAAGACGAUUUCAUCUCUCCGACGGCUUGAUUCGUCGAAUUGAGAGUAGCUCUUGGGAGGAAUUUCGUGUAUGAGCAAUCGUUAUCUCUACUCUCCGUUGUCGUCUCACUCUCCGUCAAAUUCUCGCAACUUCCGCCGGAGAAAUCUCUGCCACUCAGCUUCCUUCGUCGAAUUGAGAGGUGAAAUGAGUGGGGAUUGCAUUUUUGAUCCUUCUGUAUCAUCAUCUGCAGGAGAAAUGGUUUGGUCUCUCUGUCAAGCAUCGGAUAACUUGUGUUUGUUUAAUUUUCGUAAGUAUCGGAACCAAAGCUAAAAUGAAUGAAUGAUUGUACAUCUUCUACUCCUUUCUAUGAAUGUAUAAAAAUACUUGUAUAUAUGGUUUCUUGUAGUGAAAGACAUCUAAAUACAAAAUUUGAAUUUUUUUUGAA
Molecule: long non-coding RNA, 614 nt
Organism: Arabidopsis lyrata subsp. lyrata
Lineage: Eukaryota; Viridiplantae; Streptophyta; Magnoliopsida; Brassicales; Brassicaceae
Exons: 2
Source: RefSeq, a predicted model, not a curated record